CGGGGCAACCUGGCGGCGAGUGGCGAACGGGUGAGUAAUAUAUCGGAACGUACCCAGAAGUGGGGGAUAACGUAGCGAAAGUUACGCUAAUACCGCAUACGAUCUACGGAUGAAAGUGGGGGACCUUCGGGCCUCAUGCUUUUGGAGCGGCCGAUAUCUGAUUAGCUAGUUGGUGAGGUAAAGGCUCACCAAGGCGACGAUCAGUAGCUGGUCUGAGAGGACGACCAGCCACACUGGAACUGAGACACGGUCCAGACUCCUACGGGAGGCAGCAGUGGGGAAUUUUGGACAAUGGGCGCAAGCCUGAUCCAGCAAUGCCGCGUGAGUGAAGAAGGCCUUCGGGUUGUAAAGCUCUUUUGUCAGGGAAGAAACGGCUGGGGCUAAUAUCCUCGGCUAAUGACGGUACCUGAAGAAUAAGCACCGGCU
This 426-nucleotide ribosomal RNA is filed under the name unidentified bacterium TMB829. RNAcentral describes it as "bacterial SSU rRNA". It matches the Rfam family "Bacterial small subunit ribosomal RNA", at positions 75 to 498 of the family's 1533-position model. The record is from RNAcentral.